UCAUUUCUUUUCGACUGAAGAAAGAAAGACAAACAUCUUGGAUGACAUGGGGGGAAUACAUCUUUAUAUGAACAACUGAAAUGAAUGACUAAAAGUUUGGUGGUCCAACAUCUACUGGAUAAUGGACAGGAUUUCAUUGCACCAUGUCGAAGACUCGAAUAUGAAGAGGAUUCUUUAAAUGGACUUCUUAGUGCCCCAUGUGACCCCACAGGACUCCAUUACAGUGGAUAUGUGUGCAUUCUGUUUUCAUGUUUCAAAGCAGAGUGGAUUGGGGCUGGGUACACACGAUGGCCCUCUCUGAUUUCACCCUCUGGAGAAUGUACUCAGGUGGUCCUAUCAGGUGUGAAACUGACUGCGGUAAAGACAGGGGAUUUGUCAAGACAAGCUGGAACCAUGCCCAGAGUGAGGGGGUUGAAGGCUUUUUAGGUUUUCUUUUAAAAUGUCACAAUGCUGUCAUUCACUAAGUGUGGUUGAUUGCAAGCAGACCAGACUCUGAUGCUUAUUCUAAACUCUCCACAGGUAGACAGAGGGAGAGUUCACAGCAAGCAUUAAGGAUCCAUUUUGGACCCAUCUCUGACUGGUUCAGACUUUGAAUGACACCUUCAAUAGCAGAAACCAGAAAGACCUCUGGGUGUGGAGAUACUGGCAAGAUUAUUUUUUGUCCAUUUAAUUAAAACUAAACCCUGUAAUUCUGAUUUAUUAAAAACUCUUGUUUCCAAUAAAUCAUUCAGUUAAAUCAA
Long non-coding RNA from Megalobrama amblycephala (Wuchang bream), 740 nucleotides. RefSeq lists it as uncharacterized. The record is from RefSeq and is a predicted model, not a curated record. The transcript has 2 exons. Lineage: Eukaryota; Metazoa; Chordata; Actinopteri; Cypriniformes; Xenocyprididae.